CUCUCUGGAGAUGAAGUGGGUGUACUCAUCAGCCCCUGGUCUCGGAACUCAAGGGAAAGAAAGACAGCGUAUCCACAGGAGGAAUAAGGGCACACUCCAUGGCAGUACCUGGUGAUGGGAAUUUAAGGGCAUCUGCAUAGGAGUGCCUGCUUUCCCUCUGGAGGACACUGAUGUUCAGGGGGUUGGCUUGCUUUCAAAGACUGUGGAAUAGAUAUGGUGACCUGCCCAGCAGAUCAGACAAAAGAGAAGAAGCAGCACCAAGAUGAAGCAGAGCUUUUCAACUUCAAUCCUGUCAGCAUUUUAGGUAUCAGUCAUUUGGGGACAUUUUGUAAAAUAUGAAGAAGAGACACUGCACCAUUCUGCGG
This is a non-coding RNA of Rattus norvegicus (Norway rat), 365 nucleotides long. The record is from RefSeq and is a predicted model, not a curated record. Lineage: Eukaryota; Metazoa; Chordata; Mammalia; Rodentia; Muridae.